RNAcentral lists this long non-coding RNA (2503 nucleotides) under Canis lupus familiaris (dog). RNAcentral's name for it is "lncRNA (ENSCAFG00805020203.1, ENSCAFG00845004396.1)". The record is from RNAcentral. Lineage: Eukaryota; Metazoa; Chordata; Mammalia; Carnivora; Canidae.
GGACCGCGCGUCCCGCCUCGGCUCCCGGCGGCGCCCAGAGAGCCCACGGGCACCUGCGGAGGCGCCUCCGCCUUCUCUGAAUCCAGAGGGCUUCUUCCUACCUUCCUGACCCGGGGGAUCCAGGGUCAGCCCUGAAUUCACACCCACAACCGAGCAGCCAGGCUGGGGGGACCUCGUGUUUGAGAUGCCGGGAUGCCGGCCGCACCCAGAACCAACUAACACGCGUGCACGGCCAGGCACCUGCUCUCUCUCUGCCAGACGAACAGCACCUGAAAUCUGCUGUUGCGCUCGGUCUCUCUGACCAGGUCAUAAAACAGUGUCUUGAGGAUGUCAGUGCCCAACAGAUUUUUUAAAGAUUUAAUAAAUGAAUGAACCGCACCAAGUUCCACUGUCAUGGGGGCACAGCACCAAAGUCUCAAGACAAAAAUCACAAGGACCGUUGAUGGAACCCAGGUCUUUUCUUUUCUUUUCUUUUCUUUUCUUUUCUUUUCUUUUCUUUUCUUUUCUUUUUUUUUUUUAAGAUUGUAUUCAUUUUUUCAUGUGAGAGGCAGAGGGAGAAGCAGGCCUCCUGCGGGGAGCCCGAUAGAGGACUUGAUCCCAGGACCCCAGGAUCACGCCCUGAGAUGAAAUGAAGGCCGACGCUCAGCCACUGAGCCACCCAAGUGCCCGGAACCCAGGGAUGCUGGAUUUUGUUGACUUGGUCUACUUACAGAUCCUCAUCAUAUCCUGCUUGGACAGCUGCCACCAUCUCUGGAAUUCUGAUCUCUAAACUCAUCUCUCUUCUAUUCACCUCCUAUGAUGUCACCAGGUUAUCAUUCUACAGCAGAAAUCUGAUCAUGUCAUUCCCACGCAAAACACCUACCCAAAGGAUCUAAAAGUCCUUGGCAUAAUAAGGCAAGUCGUUAGUCAUUCAUCUUUCAACAAAUAUUUACUGGGCGCUGAUUAUGUAUCAAGCUCUAUGCUAGCUGGCUAAGUGUGAAAAGUAUGGUGACAAACUGGAGAGAUGUGCCCUGUACCUUCAUGGAAUUUAUAUUCUAGUAGGGAGACAAAUAAACAACCACAUAAGCAAUAUAAUUAUGACUUGGAUAAACAUGAAAUUGUUAUUAAGUAACUAGAGUGUUGUGAUUGAGUUCUGGGAGCAGGGGUGGAUGUCAGAGAAGGCCCUUCUGAGGAGGUGACAUUUACACUGCUUAAAUUACGACAAAGAAAUGGCCAUGGGAAGAGUUCUAGGCAAGGGAAACAUAAAGUGCAAAGGUCCAAAAGUGGGAAAAAGCUUGGAUGGCCAGUAUGGCAGAAGAUAGUAAGGUUGCUGGACAGUUGAGCUCUACUUGCUUCUCCGGCCUCAUUUUUGAAAACUCAGACCCACAUCUAGGCAUCCUAAAUCCCAAACAUGUACAGCUACCCCUACUAUAUCCUCAACACACCAUGCCUUCUCAUUUUUCACCUGCUCCCUCCCAAUCAUCCUACUCCUGGUGAUUGGGCUUCUAAAUAAUACCUCCAACGACACCCUUGGGUUCCUCUCUUCCCCUCCUCCAGGCACUAGACUGCUCCUUCCUCCUCUAUGCCUCCACAGAAGUCUAUAUGUACCCCCCCCCUUUUUUUACAUAGUUAGCAUUUAUUGAGUAUUUUCUAUAUGCCAGGCACUGUUCUAAGCACUUUACCUGUAUACUUGGCUUUAUGAGGCAGGUCCAUUUAAAAUCCUCAAAAUUUCUAUGAGCUAGAAAGUAUUACUAUCUCUACCAUAUAGAUGAAGAAAUGGAGUCCCAGAGAAAUUACAAUUCACACACAGUUACAUAGUGAGUAAAUGGCAGUCAGGAUUUCAACCCAGACAGUUCAGUUUGUAUUUUAACCGCUAAGCCCUUUUUGCCUUUCAAGAUUGAUAACAGUAGCUAACAUUUAUCAAGCACUGCCUAUGGACUAGGCUUUCUUCUCUUGAUGUAAGUGAACAUAUUGAAUCCUACAACUCUCUGAGGUAGACACUCUUAAGUCCUCACAACAACCCUCCUAUUGGCGCUAAGACCAGGACUCUUGUGUGGAGCCCACAUCCUCCCAAUCAGCAAUCCCAAUGCCUCCUACAUCCAGAAAUUGAUCAACAAAUGUCUGCUGGAUGAAUGAAUGUACCAGCAAGACCCAGUGUCUUCCUCUUGGCUCACAAUUCACACUUCAAGAGCAUAUAGUGCCCAGAAAUACUUGGAGAAAAUUAUUAUAAUGGAAUAGAAGUCUGUUGUAGUAAAUAUAUACCAAUGAGAGCUGAUUAAUAUAAAGGCUAACUUCACAUGCAUAUUCACUGCAUUUCAAAUGUCAGACAGAGAAAUGCCUUUAUUGGGCACCUGGGUGGCUCAGUGGUUGAGUGUCUGCCUUUGGCUCAGGUCGUGAUCCUGGCGUCCUGGGAUCGAGUGCUGCAUUGGGUUCCCUGCAGGGAACCUAUUUCUCCCUCUGCCUAUGGUGUGCCUCUCUCUGUGUGUCUCUCAUGAACGAAUAUAUAAAAUCUUAAAAAAAAAAA